AUAUCAAUAAGCGGAGGAAAAGAAACCAACAGGGAUUGCCCUAGUAACGGCGAGUGAAGCGGCAACAGCUCAAAUUUGAAAUCUGGCUCUUUCAGGGUCCGAGUUGUAAUUUGCAGAGGGCGCUUUGGCAUUGGCAGCGGUCCAAGUUCUUUGGAACAGGACGUCACAGAGGGUGAGAAUCCCGUACGUGGUCGCUAUCCUUUGCCGUGUAAAGCCCCUUCGACGAGUCGAGUUGUUUGGGAAUGCAGCUCUAAAUGGGAGGUAAAUUUCUUCUAAAGCUAAAUACUGGCCAGAGACCGAUAGCGCACAAGUAGAGUGAUCGAAAGAUGAAAAGCACUUUGGAAAGAGAGUCAAAUAGCACGUGAAAUUGUUGAAAGGGAAGCGCUUGCAGCCAGACUUGCCUGUAGUUGCUUAUCCGGACUUUUGUCCGGUGCACUCUUCUGCGGGCAGGCCAGCAUCAGUUUGGGCAGUUGGAUAAAGGUCUCUGUCAUGUACCUCUCUUCGGGGAGGCCUUAUAGGGGAGACGACAUGCAACUAGCCUGGACUGAGGUCCGCGCAUCUGCUAGGAUGCUGGCGUAAUGGCUGUAAGCGG
This 592-nucleotide ribosomal RNA is filed under the name uncultured fungus. Its description in RNAcentral is "eukaryotic LSU rRNA". It matches the Rfam family "Eukaryotic large subunit ribosomal RNA", at positions 40 to 647 of the family's 3401-position model. The record is from RNAcentral. Lineage: Eukaryota; Fungi.